This 467-nucleotide ribosomal RNA is filed under the name uncultured bacterium. Its description in RNAcentral is "partial 16S ribosomal RNA". It matches the Rfam family "Bacterial small subunit ribosomal RNA", at positions 28 to 507 of the family's 1533-position model. The record is from RNAcentral.
GACGAACGCUGGCGGCGUGCUUAACACAUGCAAGUCGAACGGAAAGGCCUCUUUCGGGGGGUACUCGAGUGGCGAACGGGUGAGUAACACGUGAGUAACCUGCCCUUGACUUUGGGAUAACUUCAGGAAACUGGGGCUAAUACCGGAUAGGAGCUCCUGUUGCAUGGUGGGGGUUGGAAAGUUUCGGCGGUUGGGGAUGGACUCGCGGCUUAUCAGCUUGUUGGUGGGGUAGUGGCUUACCAAGGCUUUGACGGGUAGCCGGCCUGAGAGGGUGACCGGCCACAUUGGGACUGAGAUACGGCCCAGACUCCUACGGGAGGCAGCAGUGGGGAAUAUUGCACAAUGGGUGGAAGCCUGAUGCAGCAACGCCGUGUGCGGGAUGACGGCCUUCGGGUUGUAAACCGCUUUCGCUCAUGACGAAGCUUUGUGUGACGGUAGUGGGUAAAGAAGCACCGGCUAACUACGUG